UACGUAGGGUGCGAGCGUUAAUCGGAAUUACUGGGCGUAAAGCGUGCGCAGGCGGUUUUGUAAGUCAGAUGUGAAAUCCCCGGGCUCAACCUGGGAACUGCGUUUGAAACUACAAGGCUAGAGUGUAGCAGAGGGGGGUAGAAUUCCACGUGUAGCAGUGAAAUGCGUAGAGAUGUGGAGGAACACCGAUGGCGAAGGCAGCCCCCCUGGGUCAAGAUUGACGCUCAUGCACGAAAGCGUGGGGAGCAAACAGG
This 254-nucleotide ribosomal RNA is filed under the name uncultured bacterium. RNAcentral's name for it is "partial 16S ribosomal RNA". It matches the Rfam family "Bacterial small subunit ribosomal RNA", at positions 524 to 776 of the family's 1533-position model. The record is from RNAcentral.